AGCACCCCGACGAGGGGAGUGAAACAGUACCUGAAACCGAACGCCUACAAUCAGUUGGAGGCCCCUUGAGGGCUGACAGCGUACCUUUUGUAUAAUGGGUCAUCGACUUGGUCUAUCUAGCAAGCUUAAGCCGUUAGGUGUAGGCGCAGCGAAAGCGAGUCUGAAUAGGGCGCAUGAGUUAGAUGGAUCAGACCCGAAACCGAGUGAUCUAGGCAUGACCAGGAUGAAGGUACGGUAACACGUACUGGAGGU
This 252-nucleotide ribosomal RNA is filed under the name Dolichomastix tenuilepis. Its description in RNAcentral is "partial Bacterial large subunit ribosomal RNA". It matches the Rfam family "Bacterial large subunit ribosomal RNA", at positions 520 to 773 of the family's 2925-position model. Lineage: Eukaryota; Viridiplantae; Chlorophyta; Mamiellophyceae; Dolichomastigales; Dolichomastigaceae. The record is from RNAcentral.